Panicum hallii is the source of this 1947-nucleotide RNA transcript. It is a transcript of the gene named probable non-inhibitory serpin-Z9, with no coding region annotated. The record is from RefSeq and is a predicted model, not a curated record. The transcript is spliced from 4 exons. Lineage: Eukaryota; Viridiplantae; Streptophyta; Magnoliopsida; Poales; Poaceae.
CGCCCAGGAACACCGAGGCAAAAUGCAGCUCUCCUUCCUCCGGCGAGCGCUCCACCAGCGCUGGCCGCACGCCGCCUCCCCUUUCCCCUUCACCGCCGUAAUCCGGCCUCGUACCUUUUCCGCCGCUUCCGCCACGCCGGCGCCGGCGCCGUCACCCAAGGACGCGCGCGAUGCGCCGCCGCCGUUGAUGCCGACGCGGCCUUGGGAGGAGGCGCUCGCGGCCUCGCAGCGCGCCUUCUGCCUGCCGCUCGCGGGCCGCGUCCUCGCCGCCUCGGCGACCGGGAACGCCGCCGUGUCCCCCGCCGCGGCGCACGCCUCGCUCGCGCUCGCCGCCGCCGGCGCGCGCGGCGCGACGCGGAGGCAGCUCCUGCAGGUGCUGGGCUGCGGCGGAGGGGGCAGGGGCGCCGCGGCCGACGCGGCAAACGUGGCGUCGCGCGUGGUGAAGCGGGUGCUCAGGGACCGGUCCCCGUCCGGCGGGCCGGUGCUGCGGUUCGCUGGAGGAAUCUGGGCCGACGCCUCCACUAGGCUAUCGCCGGCGUUCGUGGAGGCCGCCCGUGACGUGUACGGCUCCGAGGCGAGGACGGCCGACUUCAUGAACGAGCCAGAAGCCGCUGCGAAGCAAAUUAACUCGUGGGUCAUAGAGUCCAUGAAAUGUACAGUUACCUCGCUCCAACCGGAUGUGUCAUUUGACCAGAAUACAGGACUUGUUCUUGGCAGCGUACUGUAUUUUGGGGGAAGAUGGCUUCAUCGGGCUGAUAUAAGGAGCACUGCAGCGCAAAAGUUCUGCUGCCUGGAUGGAACUUGUGUUGAUGUCCCUUUUGUGGAAUAUGAUAGAACUCGACUUUUUGCUGUCCAUGAGGGAUUUAAAGUCAUUAAGCUUCCUUAUCAGCAAGGAAGGAAUGAACGGAAGUUCUCCAUGUAUAUCUUCCUACCUGAUGCUCAUGAUGGCUUGUUUGAAUUAACUAAGAAAAUUUUUGCUGAACCAUCAUUCUUAGAACAACAUUUGCCAACAGAGAAGCGACAUGUGGAUAUCAGGGUGCCCAAGUUCACAGUAUCUUUUCAGAUCAAUAUGAAGGAAAUUCUCAAAGAAAUGGGCCUUGAAUUACCCUUCCAUCGUGAUGCAGAUUUCGCAGACAUGGUCAAGGAUGAUGAAUCCAGUGGCCCUUUGUUUUUAUCUGAUGUACUUCAUAAAGCGAUUUUGGAGGUUAAUGAUAAAAUGAUUGAAGAGGCUUCAUUCUCAAUGGGCAUAGGCAAACCUUCACCAGCAGAGCACUUUGUUGCCGAUCACCCCUUCUUCUUUGUCAUUAGGGAAGAGGUGUCUGGCUCAGUAAUCUUCAUGGGGCAUAUACUGGACCCUUCAUCACAAUCAUAACUUCUGGUUCUGGGCUUUUAUCAGCAAAUUAAGGUUAGAUUGUCUUCAAUGAUAGCAUGCACAGCUGUGUCGCAAGCCUGGGACAGCAGUUGCCUCGUAUUGAUCAAAAGGAGAAGAAUUUCUUUGCACGGACACAUGGACUGAAAGCCAUAUUAAGCGAAAUCAGAAGUGAUGUGAUAAAUUUCAUCAGUUGCGGGUUGAGAGCUCUGUUUCCUUGAACAUUCAUAUUUGAUUCCUCCUGGUGGUUGAGAGCUCUGGUGGCAUUAACGCGAGGAACCUCUCCGGUGGUUGCGGACAGCAUACUUCAAUGGUUGGUGUGCACAUUGCAUAAUCAGGCCCCACAUCGCCGCGAAGAUUCCAUCAAAAGCCGCCGCGCAGCCCUGGACGCAGUCUGCAUAAGGUUUAUGUUACCGUUGAUACCUUAAAAAUUGGUGGUCACCGGUAACAAUAAUCGAUCGAUUAUCGACGAUUAUCAGUAAAAAUCGACUGAUAAGGACGGUUAAAUUCAAAUUGUUGAUAAUUGAUAUUUAUCAACUAUAAUCGGUGCUUUUCGACUGAUAAAUCGAGAAAUAUGU